This 254-nucleotide ribosomal RNA is filed under the name uncultured bacterium. Its description in RNAcentral is "partial 16S ribosomal RNA". It matches the Rfam family "Bacterial small subunit ribosomal RNA", at positions 524 to 776 of the family's 1533-position model. The record is from RNAcentral.
UACGGAGGGGGCUAGCGUUGUUCGGAAUUACUGGGCGUAAAGCGCGCGUAGGCGGCUUUGUAAGUUAGAGGUGAAAGCCCGGAGCUCAACUCCGGAAUUGCCUUUAAGACUGCAUCGCUAGAAUCAUGGAGAGGUGAGUGGAAUUCCGAGUGUAGAGGUGAAAAUUCGUAGAUAUUCGGAAGAACACCAGUGGCGAAGGCGACUCACUGGACAUGUAUUGACGCUGAGGUGCGAAAGCGUGGGGAGCAAACAGG